This is a long non-coding RNA of Seriola aureovittata, 2156 nucleotides long. RefSeq lists it as uncharacterized. The transcript is spliced from 4 exons. Lineage: Eukaryota; Metazoa; Chordata; Actinopteri; Carangiformes; Carangidae. The record is from RefSeq and is a predicted model, not a curated record.
GAAGCGUUUAACUCUUAGCCAAUCAGAGAUCAGCUUGGAGGAAAAUAGGGAAGGAGAAGGAGGAGCAAGUGAAGAAGAAGGGGUGUGUGCAACACAUGGAGCAGUGACAGUCCCUGUGUGAAAAGUGUAACUCGGACUGUAAAACGUGGACGUUGAAGCCAGCACCGUCUGGAGUGACAGUCAGCUGUGAUCGCCAGCCACACGUUUCACAGAGGACUGGAAGGAAAGGAGGACGUCGCUGGAGCGCCGUUAUCUGGCAUCUGUUGCUUCUGCCUGUGAGGACAGACUCAGCCACUGGACCUGCUACAUCAUCUACCUGCUCCUGGACUCUUCUGACCUGCAUGCGUCCUGGUCGCUACAAUCCGGGUUCCCCCUUCUAUAAAUCAAAUUGGAUUCAACUACCACCUGUUUGACAGUCGGACCUUUCACCUCGGCUUGGACGGAGCUCGGAUGGGAGCACAUGCUACAAACAUUUGGGCGGAGACGGCUGUUUCUCAAUAUCACACUCAACUGCGUGAGGACCGUGACCGUCUGCAGAGCGGUGAGAGGGUUUCUUUUAUCUUCACAUGUUUUAUUCUUACACAAAAUGCUCACUUUUCAAUCCUGUGGCUUUCACUCUUACAACAGAGAGAUUUAAUUUAUCCAGAAAAUUCAAUCAAAUACAUGCAUUUUCAUCUCAAUUUAGUCUUCCCUCAACAUAGGUACAAGCCACCACCUGUAAUUUCACAUCAUAGACAUCAGUUGUUCUUGUCAAUAAAACUCACACUUCCCCAAAUCUAGGAGAACUGUUGUAAUACAAAUUUCACUUGGCUUUUCUAUGAUUCAAUGAAAAAAUGACAUAGUAGAAUAAGACAUAAAAACAUUCAAAUAGUUAUAGUAUAGUAAGAUAUGGAGACGUCAUAGUAUAGUAAGGCCUUAAAAGUGAAAAGAUGACAUUCUAUGGUAUUGCAAAAAAAUGUGAAAAAACAACAUAGUAUAGUGAGGAAUAAAAACAUCCAAAAAGGUCAUAGUAUAUUAAGGUAUAAAGACGUCAUAGUAAAGUAAGGCCAGAAAAGUCGUAAGAUGUGUGUGUGUGUGUGUGUGCGCGCGGUGCGGUCUGUCGGUCGGUCGCUGGCUGGCUGGCUGGCUGGCUGGCUGGCUGGCUGGCUGGCUGGCUGGCUCUGUUUUGUCUUCCGGAGCCUCAGGGAAAGGUUUACGUUGAUGGUAUGCUGACGUCAGAUAUUGGCCUCUGUGACCUCCGAUGUCCAUCAUUCCUCAGGUGAAAGCUUUUAUUGGUCACAAGCGGCUGAGCACCAGGAAAUGAGUCAACUUAAACCACACUGGUGUGUUUGGAUCUUUUAAACAGACAUGGGUCUUUACUUUGUUUUGAAUUCUUUCAUUGUGCUUUCUUCAUUGACUUUGCCUUUAUCAACUACAGGAAUAAAUGAAGCAACUGUCAUCUUAACUUUGAACUCUUUAUAUAACUUAAGUGAUUAGUUUUGGAAAUGUCUUGUAUUUGGACUAGAUGUGUAAUCAGUAGUGACCUUUCAGGACCCAGUGCUGUUUACCGGCUCCAUGAGGAACAACCUGGAUCCUUUCAACCAACACAUGGAUUAGGAACUGUAGAAUGCUCUGCACACACACACACACAACCCUAACCCUAGUAGGAGCUGCAUGUAGCAUUUGUCAUAAGUCAUAAUCAGGUGUAUUUGUACAUAUUGUCUGCGAAAUAUUGUGGUGUCCCCUGGGUGAAGGGCAUAUUUGGGCCUUUAUUGUGGGAAUGAGAACUUUGAUUGUGUUUGAAAUGCAAAAGUCACAGCGGCCAACAGAAUGAGAAAUGUAGCAAGUGAUGUGGUUGUCCUACAGUCUAGCUUUUGAAUUAGUCAUGAACAAGUCUUUACUCUGUCAAGAAGACAAUCAUGUGGUAUUUGGAUUGACUUUUUUUGUGUCGGGAUGGGGAAAGGCAAGGAGCGCCUUGUGACGGGUAGGUUAUGCACACAUGGCCAAAGGGGCUUUUCAUUGUGGUGGAUUGUGUGGAGUUGUGUUUUUAUCUGCAAAUGUGCUCGGCGGUUUACUUUGACUUUUGUGUUGGGAUGGGGAAAGGCAAGGGUAGGAUUGUUUUUUUUAAUCUGCAAAUGUGCUCGGCGGUGUAGAGGCUGUGUGUUUGUUAAGAGUGU